Long non-coding RNA from Hippocampus comes (tiger tail seahorse), 211 nucleotides. RefSeq lists it as uncharacterized. The transcript has 2 exons. The record is from RefSeq and is a predicted model, not a curated record. NCBI's taxonomy places the organism in Eukaryota, Metazoa, Chordata, Actinopteri, Syngnathiformes, Syngnathidae.
GUGUGUGUUAUACAGUUCGCUAUCCCACUUGGCGAGGUGGCGUGCAAAAGCAGUGUGGUGGUGAGAACAUCAAUAAAGUUCAACAGAAAAGUUCAUCCAAAGUUCAUGCAUCAGUGCAGUGUUUUGGAAAGCAUUGUUUCGAUAUUUGAAGAAUCAGAAAUGCAAAAAAAUAGCAUCAAGGUAGAAGUUCUGCUUGAAAUGCAUUCUUUCA